GAUGAACGCUGGCGGCGUGCCUAAUACAUGCAAGUCGAGCGAACAGAUGAGGAGCUUGCUCCUCUGACGUUAGCGGCGGACGGGUGAGUAACACGUGGAUAACCUACCUAUAAGACUGGGAUAACUUCGGGAAACCGGAGCUAAUACCGGAUAAUAUAUUGAACCGCAUGGUUCAAUAGUGAAAGCCGGUUUUGCUGUCACUUAUAGAUGGAUCCGCGCCGCAUUAGCUAGUUGGUAAGGUAACGGCUUACCAAGGCGACGAUGCGUAGCCGACCUGAGAGGGUGGUCGGCCACACUGGAACUGAGACACGGUCCAGACUCCUACGGGAGGCAGCAGUAGGGAAUCUUCCGCAAUGGGCGAAAGCCUGACGGAGCAACGCCGCGUGAGUGAUGAAGGUCUUCGGAUCGUAAAACUCUGUUAUUAGGGAAGAACAAAUGUGUAAGUAACUAUGCACGUCUUGACGGUACCUAAUCAGAAAGCCACGGCUAACUACGUG
RNAcentral lists this ribosomal RNA (497 nucleotides) under uncultured bacterium. RNAcentral's name for it is "partial 16S ribosomal RNA". It matches the Rfam family "Bacterial small subunit ribosomal RNA", at positions 28 to 507 of the family's 1533-position model. The record is from RNAcentral.